RNAcentral lists this long non-coding RNA (1356 nucleotides) under Capsicum annuum. Its description in RNAcentral is "long non-coding RNA (CANN_LNC021132)". The record is from RNAcentral. Lineage: Eukaryota; Viridiplantae; Streptophyta; Magnoliopsida; Solanales; Solanaceae.
ACCAUGCAAACCCCGACUACUCCGGAUCGCGAGGAUCAUUAAGGUGGCAACGCUCCCAAUAGAGUUUUAUCCGAAUCCAGGAUCGAACCCUCGACCUUUAAUUAAGGGUAGAGCAGCCCCAUCCACUGCACCAUGCAAACCCCGACUACUCCGGAUCGCGAGGAUCAUUAAGGUGGCAGCGCUCCCAACAGAGUAGUUUUCUCAAUAUCCAAUGUCGAAUCUUUUAAUUAAGGAUGGAGCAACCUCAUCUAUUGCACCAUGUGAGCCCCGACUAAUCCUCCCAACAAAAUUUUCUCCGUACCCAAGAUCGAACCGUCGACCUCAAAAUUUUCUUUGUACCCAAGAUCAAACCCUUACCUUUGAUUAAGGGUGGAGCAGCCCAUCACUGCACCAUGCGAGCCUCAACUAAUUCAAAUCGUGCAGUGCAGAGCCAUUAAGAUGGCAACGCUCCCAACAGAAUUUUCUCCAUAUCCAAGGUCGAGUCCUCGACCUCUAAUUAAGGAUGGAGCAGAUCCAUCCAUUACACCAUGCAAGCCAGACUAAUUCAAAUUGUGGAACCAUUAAGGUGACAACACUCCCAGCAGAAUUUUCUCCGUAUCCAAGAUCGAAUCGUGAUUAAAGAUGAAACAACCCAUCCACUGCACAGCAACCCAUAUUAAUACUAUAUGCAUUCAUCCACCUCCUCCGCAGCAUUCCCCAAUAUAACCUAGACUAAACACAAUAUAAACUAAGAUAUAUAAUAUAUACAAAUAUAUUCUUUAAAAAAAAAAGGCGAUUUUAUUUAUUUAUCAAACAAAGGUGUAACACAGGUAACAAAUCCAUACACCAAACAUUAGCAAAUUCAUUAAAUAUUUACAUUAACAAUUUACCUCAUUCAAAAUCAAAUCCUAAAUUCAAGGAUCAGCAUUCGGGUUCAGGUUCGGGUUCGGGUUCUUUUCUUCGGGUUCUUCAAAAUUCAGGUCAUUGGCAUCAACAUCAACAAGAACAACAUUUUCAUCUUCCUUCUUGGCCCAAUAACUUCCAUCACCGGCCCAUGUAAACUUACCACCAUAGCCCCCUUUUUUCGGUGAUCCAUUCAUUCCACUAGCCGAUCUACGAUCCUUCCUACCAUCUUGUUGGCUUGAUUUUGGGCUAUUUUUGCAAUUUUUUGAUGUGUUUUUCAUUGUGGAGAAUGAUUUUUCAGAGUGAUAUUUUUGUGUGUAUAAUUUUGAUGGCUUUAUGGAAAGACAAUAUAUAGAGGAAAAUGAGAUGAUAUUUAUGUUUUGGUCCUUCAUGUAUUGAUAAUUUAUGAGUUUAGUCCUUGUAAUGUUUGAUCAAAUAUAUAUUACACAAAUGAAUUUUUCUGUAACGACAGUG